This is a small nuclear RNA of Tupaia belangeri (northern tree shrew), 106 nucleotides long. The record is from Ensembl. NCBI's taxonomy places the organism in Eukaryota, Metazoa, Chordata, Mammalia, Scandentia, Tupaiidae.
GUGCUCGCUUCUGAGCACAUGUACUAAAACUGGAACGAUACAGAGAAGAUUACUGUGGCCUCUGCGCAAGAAUGACACGCAAAUUCGUGAAGUGUUCCAUAUUUUU